RNAcentral lists this ribosomal RNA (320 nucleotides) under uncultured eukaryote. RNAcentral's name for it is "partial 18S ribosomal RNA". It matches the Rfam family "Eukaryotic small subunit ribosomal RNA", at positions 1470 to 1796 of the family's 1831-position model. The record is from RNAcentral.
CCCUUAGAUGUUCUGAACCGCACGCGUGUUACACUGAUGCAUUCAACGAGCUUUACCUUGGCCGAGAGGCCUGGGAAAUCUUUUUAGCAUGCAUCGUGAUAGGGAUUGAUUAUUGCAAUUAUUAAUCAUGAACGAGGAAUUCCUAGUAAACGCAUUUCAUCAAAAUGCAUUGAUUACGUCCCUGCCCUUUGUACACACCGCCCGUCGCACCUACCGAUUGAGUGGUCCGGUGAAGUCUCGGGACGGCGGCUUGGUCGCUUGCGUCCGACUGCUGAAACUUGAUUAAACCAUAUCAUUUAGAGGAAGGUGAAGUCGUAACA